UUUGACGUUAGCGGCGGACGGGUGAGUAACACGUGGAUAACCUACCUAUAAGACUGGGAUAACUUCGGGAAACCGGAGCUAAUACCGGAUAACAUAUUGAACCGCAUGGUUCAAUAGUGAAAGGCGGCUUUGCUGUCACUUAUAGAUGGAUCCGCGCCGUAUUAGCUAGUUGGUAAGGUAACGGCUUACCAAGGCAACGAUACGUAGCCGACCUGAGAGGGUGAUCGGCCACACUGGAACUGAGACACGGUCCAGACUCCUACGGGAGGCAGCAGUAGGGAAUCUUCCGCAAUGGGCGAAAGCCUGACGGAGCAACGCCGCGUGAGUGAUGAAGGUCUUCGGAUCGUAAAACUCUGUUAUCAGGGAAGAACAAAUGUGUAAGUAACUGUGCACAUCUUGACGGUACCUGAUCAGAAAGCCACGGCUAACUACGUG
Molecule: ribosomal RNA, 435 nt
Filed under: Staphylococcus warneri
Lineage: Bacteria; Bacillati; Bacillota; Bacilli; Caryophanales; Staphylococcaceae
Description: bacterial SSU rRNA
Rfam family: Bacterial small subunit ribosomal RNA
Source: RNAcentral